RNAcentral lists this long non-coding RNA (183 nucleotides) under Macaca mulatta (Rhesus monkey). Its description in RNAcentral is "lncRNA (ENSMMUG00000057156.1)". The record is from RNAcentral. Lineage: Eukaryota; Metazoa; Chordata; Mammalia; Primates; Cercopithecidae.
CUUACCCAAAGAGUGUUGAAACUUGAAUUGAUUUUAUAUUUCCUUUCUAGAUUAUUAAAAACUCCAAUUUGUGUCUGUGUAACUCAACGUGGGAACCUGGAACCAUGUUUACUCUUCUGAUGACCCUGAAAGAGGAGAAGUUCACCAGAUGGAUUGGCCAGAUGGGUCCUGGAUCCAUUGGGA